GAUUAAGUGUCGUAAGGGCAUUUGGUGGAUGCCUUGGCAUGCACAGGCGAUGAAGGACGUGAUACGCUGCGAAAAGCCGUGGGGAGCUGCGAAUGAGCUUUGAUCCAUGGAUCUCCGAAUGGGGCAACCCACCUUAAAUGCUUGGGAAAUCUGAUGCGCCGUUGGCGCAUGAGCGAAUAGGAUUUAGCGAAUAGCGAAUAGAAUUCAAAAACUAUUCGCUACUGGCUAUUGGCUAUUUGCUGCGUCGAAGACGCCUCAGGUUUCCAAGCAUUGUGAUAAGGUAUCUGCACCUGAAUACAUAGGGUGUAAGAAGCGAACGCAGGGAACUGAAACAUCUAAGUACCUGCAGGAAAGGACAUCAACCG
Molecule: ribosomal RNA, 365 nt
Filed under: Rhizobium laguerreae
Lineage: Bacteria; Pseudomonadati; Pseudomonadota; Alphaproteobacteria; Hyphomicrobiales; Rhizobiaceae
Description: partial 23S ribosomal RNA
Rfam family: Bacterial large subunit ribosomal RNA
Source: RNAcentral